GCAAUUGUUUACGUGACAAUACAGAGUUCCAACAAUCUAGUCUGAUUUGAGAAAACAAAGCUAAUAUCAAUCACAAGAAUAUCUAGAAAGCGCUAUAAGCACCUUUAAAAAAUGAGUAACAUGACUUCAAACAAAAUGCACUUCUACUGAUUUUAAUCUCAAACACUACACCGAUCCAAGGCAACUAUCCGGGCCCAAGCAAUUCCUGCUAAAAAACUUCAAUCUCAACUGCCAAACCUGCAUAGAAUCAAAACACAUACAAAAUUGUAAUAAGUUAUAAAAGAAAGCUUCCAAACUAAUCCAGAGUAAUAACAUCCGUGGAAACGCCACUACUAUAUUAUGGAAAUAGGUAAAUGUGUGUAACACACGUGAAAACAACAGACUAGUUACAAGUUCAAAAAAAUUAGUCCGAAGAAAAGUGUGCCAAAUGAAAGUAUAAUCUAAGUUAGGCUACAAGUGACAAGUAACAAGCACACAUCACAAAGCUAAAAGUACAGUAGCAGUAGCAGUUGGUCCAGUAAUCGGUUCUGGACCGAACAGACAAUAUGUGCAUGGGGCUAACCAGGCUGGGAGUUGUCUCUUUUCUGGCCUAGUGAACAAAGAUGAGACAUGUACUUAGUUUUUUUUCUGAGAGGAAGCAUUGCCCCUGUACAUGUAUUUAGUUUAUCUUGAUCAACCGUUUCUGUACUAUAAAAGAAAUGAGAAAAAAAAGUGACAUGCACUUAGGUUUUUUUGUGAGAGGAAGAUGUGCGCACAUGUAAGUACUUGGAUUUCCUGGAUCAAAAUUUUCUGUAUAAGCGAGCAGCUGAAAAUUAUGUAAAAAAAUCCGCCAGCAUAGACACUGUACCACACCAUUCCUUAGCAAACAAAAAUGACAGUAAAGAAGUGACAGACUAACUUCAAGAUAAUUAACACAAACUGGGCAUAAAAAUAGGCCAAGUUCAAAUCAAAAUAUGUUAUGUUGUGGACUAUACUAGCUCAAUAUUUAAAUCAAAAUCAGCACCUAAGGAUUUUUCAUCUAACUUGAUGCUUAUGCUGCAAGUUCAUCUCAAAGUGCCAACAAAUAUAGUACUAAACAAUACUUGCUUGCCAAGUGAAGUUCAAAUGGCAUGCAAAACAUUAACAAAGAACAUGAUACAAUUUCAUUGAGAGAUCUCCCACACUAAUAGUUUAUUUGUGGGGUACUAAACUAUGUACUUUUAUUUCAUGAAAAAAUUAAAAUCUGCACUGUAGUAAAUUAUUAAACAAGAAAACACUUGAUAAACGGUAAACUAAUAGUUAGGAAAGUCUAGUAGAGUAUGGAUACAAUGCAUGAUCUCAGGGACAUUGUCCAAUGCAGAUUUUAGGCACACAGAAAUAUCUGUACAAUUAUAACUACUAGAACCACACAACAGUCCACACCUUGAACAACUCACAACAGUCCGCACCUUGAACAGCUCAAAAUCUACAGCCUGAAUAAUUCACAUCAAGAAUGGAAGGGUAUCAAGCUCACCCUAUUCUGCUCAAGGACGGUGUCGUCGGCAUCGAUUAUGUGGGAGAUGUACUGACUAUAAUGUGCAAAGCAAAGAUAUUAGUGUGACAAUUGGAUAUGUGGUUUCAUUCAUUAUUACUGAAAUGCAAAUGUUGUCUCAACUGAACCGAAUUCUUACAGAACUAUGCCUUCCCAAAUGUCUAAAUUUACUAACUGAAUUCUUAAAGAAUUGAUUCAAUUGCAUACUAACUGAACUAAGGAACAAUGUACAAUGGGUAGCCGCACAUUAUUUUCCAUCUUUGCAUUGGUGAGACUAAAACACAUAUAUCAGACACCAAAUUACUAGUCCUUAAAAUGUGCCAACUAAAAUGAAAUACCUUUUGAUGUGAUAUACACUAUAAACCUCUACAUGUCCAGCAGGCAGUAGCUAAACUGAACAUUUGCUGCCACUGACAGCACAUGCUUUUGACCCUAAACACACAUGAAGGUAUCAAGGAGGUUAAUUGAACAUGGUAAAACUGAAAUAUUUAACAUUUGUUGAUUUUAUAUCGAUUCAUUUAAUACAUUGAGGAACCUAAACAGAUAAAACAACCGAAUUAAAAAAUAGAUGUGAGUUAUCAACCCUUCAGACUAGCAAACUUAUGGCAGUUUAUCUUAUGUAGCGUAAUGUAAAUACAGGAAUUAGCACACAACAUAAUUAUCCUUCUGUUAGUUUAUCCUCAUGUAUCCUUAUUUAGUUUAUAUUGCAUACAGGGAUUUUGUUUGAAUUACUGCUUCAUCUAUUCAUUUCAUUUCUUCCAUUCUGUCAUACGGAUUCCAUCUUUCCUUAGCUUUGUGAGUCCACACACCGGCUGUAGAGGAGGAACAAGCGUCAGUAUUUGCAUCUAAUUCAGAAGAUUAAAACAAGGAAGAAGAAAUACACUAACAAUUAAGAGCAUAUCUAGGAAAGGAGAAGUUGCACAAUAUAACUAGCUAAGGAGACCAGGCCAGCUCGUCCUCUGCACUGAAUUGGGUGUAAGAUGCAUAUAUUUUUACUACAAUCCAUUCCAUUUAUCUUAUUUUACUUUCAUAUAUUAAAAUCGGUGCACAUGAAUGCAUGCAUCUAACAGUAUCAUAAGAAUCGUAUGCUUGCUCUUUGCACAUGUAGUACGUUGCACCAAACACAUUCUAUUAUGGAUACUACAGAGCCUUAUUUUAAAAUUCUGCCACAACAUCAUUGUUAAGUUACAACUAAUUCAGAAUUUGUGAAAAAAAUAAGCAAACCUUCUCAAGUGGCUAGCUUCUAAUGGUAUCGAUUUUCCAAGAGUUGUUAUUGAAUACAUCAUGGACAGAAAUCAUGCACAAAGCUCGUUGUGCACUAUAAAAAACAGUAUGCAAACCAUUAACUUUAGCAACAUUAGCUAUACCUGAAUGAUGAUAUUAGAAAAUAGAACAUCCACUCAACUGAUUAUGCAAAAAGCACCUAUGAAACAACACCGAAAUAGUGCAUCCACCAAAAUGGUUAUGCAAAAAGCACCUACGAACCAGCAUACAGGCCAUGGGAUUAACAAGUUUCCCACACUAUCCAACACAUAAUACAACCGACUAAAGGUGCAACGAGUCCUACAAGAAAAACUAGAUUCCUACUAGCCAAUUUAGCCCAUUAUUCAGGCGCAUACAAGUAGUAAUCUACAUGUAACAGAGUAUGGCCCAGUCAUGCGCUCUGAACAGAGGAGGGACGCAGCUCACCAAAGAGGCUUGUAGAUGAUGUAACUGUCGCAGUGCAGGCCAGACACCGCCGUCG
Molecule: long non-coding RNA, 3254 nt
Filed under: Triticum aestivum (bread wheat)
Lineage: Eukaryota; Viridiplantae; Streptophyta; Magnoliopsida; Poales; Poaceae
Description: long non-coding RNA (TAES_LNC009767)
Source: RNAcentral